UGAUGACUGUUCCUCCUAUUGCCUUUAGACAUGGCACCAGGAUUUUAGGUCAUCAUAAAUUAAAAUUGAUUUUUUUUUCACUCAGGGAAUAACAAGAUAAUGGAAUUAUCUGUGUAUUCUCUGAAAUUUUUGAGAUCAAACAAUU
Small nucleolar RNA from Cricetulus griseus (Chinese hamster), 145 nucleotides. Ensembl annotates it as small nucleolar RNA SNORA79. The record is from Ensembl. NCBI's taxonomy places the organism in Eukaryota, Metazoa, Chordata, Mammalia, Rodentia, Cricetidae.